RNAcentral lists this ribosomal RNA (547 nucleotides) under uncultured haloarchaeon. Its description in RNAcentral is "bacterial SSU rRNA". It matches the Rfam family "Archaeal small subunit ribosomal RNA", at positions 340 to 886 of the family's 1478-position model. The record is from RNAcentral. Lineage: Archaea; Methanobacteriati; Methanobacteriota; Halobacteria; Halobacteriales; Halobacteriaceae.
CGCGAAACCUUUACACUGCACGACAGUGCGAUAAGGGAACUCCGAGUGCGGAGGCAUAGAGCCUUCGCUUUUGUACACCGUAAGGUGGUGCACGAAUAAGGGCUGGGCAAGACCGGUGCCAGCCGCCGCGGUAAUACCGGCAGCCCAAGUGAUGGCCGAUAUUAUUGGGCCUAAAGCGUCCGUAGCUGGCCGGACAAGUCCGUUGGGAAAUCCGCGCGCUCAACGCGCGGGCGUCCAGCGGAAACUGUCCGGCUUGGGGCCGGAAGACCUGAGGGGUACGUCCGGGGUAGGAGUGAAAUCCUGUAAUCUCGGACGGACCGUCUGUGGCGAAAGCGCCUCAGGAAGACGGACCCGACAGUGAGGGACGAAAGCCAGGGUCUCGAACCGGAUUAGAUACCCGGGUAGUCCUGGCUGUAAACGAUGUCCGCUAGGUGUGACGCAGGCUACGAGCCUGCGCUGUGCCGUAGGGAAGCCGUGAAGCGGACCGCCUGGGAAGUACGUCUGCAAGGAUGAAACUUAAAGGAAUUGGCGGGGGAGCACUACAACC